GAUGAACGCUGGCGGCGUGCCUAAUACAUGCAAGUCGAGCGAACGGACGAGAAGCUUGCUUCUCUGAUGUUAGCGGCGGACGGGUGAGUAACACGUGGAUAACCUACCUAUAAGACUGGGAUAACUUCGGGAAACCGGAGCUAAUACCGGAUAAUAUUUUGAACCGCAUGGUUCAAAAGUGAAAGACGGUCUUGCUGUCACUUAUAGAUGGAUCCGCGCUGCAUUAGCUAGUUGGUAAGGUAACGGCUUACCAAGGCAACGAUGCAUAGCCGACCUGAGAGGGUGAUCGGCCACACUGGAACUGGAACACGGUCCAGACUCCUACGAGAGGCAGCAGUAGGGAAUCGUCCGCAAUGGGCGAGAGCCUGACGGAGCAACGCCGCGUGAGUGAUGAAGGUCUUCGGAUCGUAAAACUCUGUUAUUAGGGAAGAACAUAUGUGUAAGUAACUGUGCACAUCUUGACGGUACCUAAUCAGAAAGCCACGGCUAACUACGUG
RNAcentral lists this ribosomal RNA (497 nucleotides) under uncultured bacterium. RNAcentral's name for it is "partial 16S ribosomal RNA". It matches the Rfam family "Bacterial small subunit ribosomal RNA", at positions 28 to 507 of the family's 1533-position model. The record is from RNAcentral.